CCUACGGGUGACAGCAGUAGGGAAUAUUGCUCAAUGGGGGAGAGCCUGAAGCAGCAACGCCGCGUGGGGGAUGAAGGUUUUGCGAUUGGUAACUCCUUUUGGUAGAGGAGAUAAGGACGGGAUCUAACGAAUAAUGACCGUCUAACUCCGGACCACCAGCCGCGGUAAUGCGGAGGGUGCAGCGGUUACUCGGAAUCACUGGGCGUAAAGGGCGCGUAGGGGGGCUAGCGAGUCAGAUGUGAAAUCCUAUGGCUUAACCCUAGAACUGCAGUUGAAACUGGUAUUCUAGAGUAUGGGAGAGGUAGGUGGAAUUCGUGGUGUAGGGGUAAAAUCCGUAGAGAUCAAGAGGAAUACUCAUUGCGAAGGCGACCUGCUAGAACAACACUGACGCUGAUGCGCGAAAGCGUGGGGAGCAAACAGGAUUAGAUACCCGAGUAGUC
RNAcentral lists this ribosomal RNA (440 nucleotides) under uncultured bacterium. RNAcentral describes it as "partial 16S ribosomal RNA". It matches the Rfam family "Bacterial small subunit ribosomal RNA", at positions 338 to 795 of the family's 1533-position model. The record is from RNAcentral.